UACGUAGGGGGCGAGCGUUGUCCGAAGUUACUGGGCGUAAAGCGCACGUAGGCGGUUAUCUAAGUCUGGGGUGAAAGGUUCAGUGCUUAACGCGAACAGUGCCUUGGAGACUGGAUGACUUGAGUUUGGGAGAGGGUAGUGGAAUGGCUGGUGUAGCGGUGAAAUGCGUAGAUAUCAGGAAGAACACCCGUGGCGAAGGCGGUUCUCUGGGACGGUACUGACGCUGAGACGCGAAAGCGUGGGGAGCGAACAGG
RNAcentral lists this ribosomal RNA (254 nucleotides) under uncultured bacterium. RNAcentral's name for it is "partial 16S ribosomal RNA". It matches the Rfam family "Bacterial small subunit ribosomal RNA", at positions 524 to 776 of the family's 1533-position model. The record is from RNAcentral.